GAUGAACGCUGGCGGCGUGCCUAAUACAUGCAAGUCGAGCGAACAGACGCGGAGCUUGCUCCUCUGACGUUAGCGGCGGACGGGUGAGUAACACGUGGAUAACCUACCUAUAAGACUGGGAUAACUUCGGGAAACCGGAGCUAAUACCGGAUAAUAUAUUGAACCGUAUGGUUCAAUAGUGAAAGACGGUUUUGCUGUCACUUAUAGAUGGAUCCGCGCCGCAUUAGCUAGUUGGUAAGGUAACGGGUUAUCAAGGCAACGAUGCGUAUCCGACGUGAGAGGGUGGUAGGCCACCCGGGAACGUGACCAGGGUCAAGAGGCCUACGAGAGGGAGCAGAAGGGUACCGUCCGCAGUGGGCGAAAGCCUUACAGAACAACGCCGCGUGAGAGAUGACGGUCCUGCGAGCGUAAUACUCUGUUACUAGGUAAGAACAAAUGUGGAAGUAACUAUGCACGUCUUGACGGUACCGAAUCAGAAAGCCACGGCUAACUACGUG
Molecule: ribosomal RNA, 497 nt
Filed under: uncultured bacterium
Lineage: Bacteria
Description: partial 16S ribosomal RNA
Rfam family: Bacterial small subunit ribosomal RNA
Source: RNAcentral